UGCAAGUCGAGGGGCAGCAUGGUCUUAGCUUGCUAAGGCCGAUGGCGACCGGCGCACGGGUGAGUAACACGUAUCCAACCUGCCGUCUACUCUUGGACAGCCUUCUGAAAGGAAGAUUAAUACAAGAUGGCAUCAUGAGUCCGCAUGUUCACAUGAUUAAAGGUAUUCCGGUAGACGAUGGGGAUGCGUUCCAUUAGAUAGUAGGCGGGGUAACGGCCCACCUAGUCUUCGAUGGAUAGGGGUUCUGAGAGGAAGGUCCCCCACAUUGGAACUGAGACACGGUCCAAACUCCUACGGGAGGCAGCAGUGAGGAAUAUUGGUCAAUGGGCGCAGGCCUGAACCAGCCAAGUAGCGUGAAGGAUGACUGCCCUAUGGGUUGUAAACUUCUUUUAUAAAGGAAUAAAGUCGGGUAUGCAUACCCGUUUGCAUGUACUUUAUGAAUAAGGAUCGGCUAACUCCGUGCCAGCAGCCGCGGUAAUACGGAGGAUCCGAGCGUUAUCCGGAUUUAUUGGGUUUAAAGGGAGCGUAGAUGGAUGUUUAAGUCAGUUGUGAAAGUUUGCGGCUCAACCGUAAAAUUGCAGUUGAUACUGGAUAUCUUGAGUGCAGUUGAGGCAGGCGGAAUUCGUGGUGUAGCGGUGAAAUGCUUAGAUAUCACGAAGAACUCCGAUUGCGAAGGCAGCCUGCUAAGCUGCAACUGACAUUGAGGCUCGAAAGUGUGGGUAUCAAACAGGAUUAGAUACCCUGGUAGUCCACACGGUAAACGAUGAAUACUCGCUGUUUGCGAUAUACUGCAAGCGGCCAAGCGAAAGCGUUAAGUAUUCCACCUGGGGAGUACGCCGGCAACGGUGAAACUCAAAGGAAUUGACGGGGGCCCGCACAAGCGGAGGAACAUGUGGUUUAAUU
RNAcentral lists this ribosomal RNA (903 nucleotides) under uncultured Bacteroidaceae bacterium. RNAcentral's name for it is "bacterial SSU rRNA". It matches the Rfam family "Bacterial small subunit ribosomal RNA", at positions 56 to 951 of the family's 1533-position model. Lineage: Bacteria; Pseudomonadati; Bacteroidota; Bacteroidia; Bacteroidales; Bacteroidaceae. The record is from RNAcentral.